CUGACGCUCAGAUGCGAAAGCGUGGGGAGCAAACAGGAUUAGAUACCCUGGUAGUCCACGCUUUAAACGAUGCACACUAGUUGUUGCUAUGCUAGACAUAGCAGUAAUGCAGUUAACACAUUAAGUGUGCCGCCUGGGGAGUACGGUCGCAAGAUUAAAACUCAAAGGAAUAGACGGGGACCCGCACAAGCGGUGGAGCAUGUGGUUUAAUUCGACGAUACGCGAAGAACCUUACCUGGCCUUGACAUAGACAGAAUUUAGUAGAGAUAUAAAAGUGCCAGUUUACUGGAGCUGUUAUACAGGUGCUGCACGGCUGUCGUCAGCUCGUGUCGUGAGAUGUUGGGUUAAGUCCCGCAACGAGCGCAACCCUCGUGUCUAGUUACUAACAGUUCGGCUGAGGACUCUAGACAGACUGCCUGGGUAACCAGGAGGAAGGUGAGGACGACGUCAAGUCAUCAUGGCCCUUACGGCCAGGGCUACACACGUGCUACAAUGGGGUAUACAGAGAGCCGCAAUACCGCGAGGUGGAGCAAAUCUUUAAAAUAUCUCCCAGUUCGGAUAGCAGUCUGCAACUCGACUGCUUGAAGUUGGAAUCGCUAGUAAUCGUGAAUCAGCAAUGUCACGGUGAAUACGUUCCCGGGUCUUGUACUCACCGCCCGUCACACCAUGGGAGUUGAAUUCAUUCGAAGCGGGGAUGCUAAAAUAGCUACCUUCCACAGUGGAUUUAGUAACUAGGGUGAAGUCGUAACAAGGUA
This 755-nucleotide ribosomal RNA is filed under the name uncultured Campylobacterota bacterium. RNAcentral's name for it is "bacterial SSU rRNA". It matches the Rfam family "Bacterial small subunit ribosomal RNA", at positions 740 to 1498 of the family's 1533-position model. The record is from RNAcentral. Lineage: Bacteria; Pseudomonadati; Campylobacterota.